UCUUAACAGCCGCAGUUGAUAGCUGUGCUAAGGUAGCGUAAUAAGUUGUCCUUUAAAUGAGGAAAGGAAUGAAUGGUUUGACGUAAGGAAUGCUGUCUCUAAAAGACAAAAUGAAAUUUUCUUCUCGGUGAAAAGUCUGAGAUUAAAUUAAAAGACGAGAAGACCCUUUUGAGCUUGACUUAUUGGCUUAUUUAUAGGUCAAGAAAUUUUGGUUGGGGCAACUAAGGAGCAAAGCAAGCCUCCUUUAUUUUAUAAAGAUCCAAAACUUUUGAAAAAAGAAAAAGCUACNAUAGGNAUAACAGCGUUAUCUUUUCUGAGAGAACAAAUUGAAGGAAAGGUUUGCGACCUCGAUGUUGAAUUAAAGUUUCCGUUGGCGCAGAAGC
RNAcentral lists this ribosomal RNA (383 nucleotides) under Divariscintilla aff. yoyo SMBL Mol2005. RNAcentral describes it as "partial 16S rRNA". It matches the Rfam family "Bacterial large subunit ribosomal RNA", at positions 1922 to 2562 of the family's 2925-position model. The record is from RNAcentral. Lineage: Eukaryota; Metazoa; Mollusca; Bivalvia; Galeommatida; Galeommatidae.